This 344-nucleotide long non-coding RNA is filed under the name Capsicum annuum. Its description in RNAcentral is "long non-coding RNA (CANN_LNC013285)". The record is from RNAcentral. Lineage: Eukaryota; Viridiplantae; Streptophyta; Magnoliopsida; Solanales; Solanaceae.
UAUUAUCUGAUGGAAAAAAGUGACAGAUAGGAGAUGUUCCUGGUAGUAAGCUGAGCACUUGGAAAGAUACAUGAGAUGGACUCCAGUCAGAGGUAUCCAAAUGACAAACCGCAAUUGCCUCCACUCUAUCACCAUUUUCACCGCCUAAUGAAACCUUGAACACUUUGCUCUUGCUAAUUGUGUAAUGACAGUAGAAAAUCGCGUAAGCAUAAGGCAUGGUAUGACAAGCCACCAGCUUAGGAGCUGCUACUUCAUGUGGAGCAUCCAGAAUGGUAUACUUUUGAAGCAGGGGAGUUGAGUUUGAGAAAUGAGUUGUGGACAGAGCUUUAAUUUGAGUUUUUUCU